GACGAACGCUGGCGGCGUGCUUAACACAUGCAAGUCGAACGGUGAAGCGCUUUCCUUUUUGGUUGGUGUGGAUGAGUGGCGAACGGGUGAGUAACACGUGAGUAACCUGCCCCCUUCUUCUGGAUAACCGCAUGAAAGUGUGGCUAAUACGGGAUAUUCUGCGCCUGCUGCAUGGUGGGUGUGGGAAAGAUUGUGCCUUUGGGUGUUUUCGGUGGGGGAUGGGCUCGCGGCCUAUCAGCUUGUUGGUGGGGUGAUGGCCUACCAAGGCGGUGACGGGUAGCCGGCCUGAGAGGGUGGACGGUCACACUGGGACUGAGACACGGCCCAGACUCGUACGGGAGGCAGCAGUGGGGAAUAUUGCACAAUGGGCGCAAGCCUGAUGCAGCGACGCCGCGUGAGGGAUGGAGGCCUUCGGGUUGUGAACCUCUUUCGCCAGUGAAGCAGGCCUGCUCCUUGUGGGUGGGUUGACGGUAGCUGGAUAAGAAGCGCCGGCUAACUACGUG
RNAcentral lists this ribosomal RNA (503 nucleotides) under uncultured bacterium. RNAcentral describes it as "partial 16S ribosomal RNA". It matches the Rfam family "Bacterial small subunit ribosomal RNA", at positions 28 to 507 of the family's 1533-position model. The record is from RNAcentral.